This 481-nucleotide ribosomal RNA is filed under the name uncultured bacterium. RNAcentral's name for it is "bacterial SSU rRNA". It matches the Rfam family "Bacterial small subunit ribosomal RNA", at positions 30 to 506 of the family's 1533-position model. The record is from RNAcentral.
UUGAACGCUGGCGGCAUGCCUUACACAUGCAAGUCGAACGGCAGCUCGGGAGCAAUCCUGGUGGCGAGUGGCGAACGGGUGAGUAAUACAUCGGAACGUGCCCAAUCGUGGGGAUAACGCAGCGAAAGCUGUGCUAAUACCGCAUAAGAUCUACGGAUGAAAGCAGGGGAUCGCAAGACCUUGCGCGAAUGGAGCGGCCGAUGGCAGAUUAGGUAGUUGGUGAGGUAAAGGCUCACCAAGCCUUCGAUCUGUAGCUGGUCUGAGAGGACGACCAGCCACACUGGGACUGAGACACGGCCCAGACUCCUACGGGAGGCAGCAGUGGGGAAUUUUGGACAAUGGGCGAAAGCCUGAUCCAGCCAUGCCGCGUGCAGGAUGAAGGCCUUCGGGUUGUAAACUGCUUUUGUACGGAACGAAAAGUCUCUUUCUAAUAAAGAGGGAUCAUGACGGUACCGUAAGAAUAAGCACCGGCUAACUACGU